CUAAUUGUUCUUUUUUAUAGUCUUUCCAAUUGUAUUUUCAGGUGAAUACAAUUUAAAAUAUUAUAAACCACACCGUCCGUAUCACCGCAUGUGCAUUCGUCAUUCUAUAUCUUCUAUAAAGAACUUCGAAAAUAAAUUAUAAUAGACGAAAAAUAAUUACUGUAUCCGAAAACAACAGUCCGAAAAAUUUUACGCGUUUGCCACAUUAAUUAAAAUGUGCAUAUCGUUUGACUGCAGACGUUGCAAAACCUAGCAAAUAUACAAUUUGGUUGCCAUAUUGCUUUACAAUAGCAUUUUUGUGGGUAAAAAACAACUUAAUUAUCACCUUUUAAUUUCAAACGAUAAUCGGCAAAAAGAUGUAACAUCGUCGAAAUAGAACUAAUUAUUUAAUUAUCAUCCUUUAAUUCAGAUCGAUAGUCGGGAGAAAGGUGUUACAGGGUUUUCAUUAGGAUUCUUUGUAGCAGGCUUUUGAGUUAUUUGAGGAGGCCAACCUGCUAGGGGGGUCCGGGGGCAUGCCCCCCCCCCCCUGAAAUUUUUUGAAAUAAAGGUGCCAAAUCGUGGCUUCUGAGCGAUUUUGGGCACAUAUUUUUCAUGAUUUUCCUCAGUUAAAAUAGAGGAUGUUAAUGUGAAUUGUUAAGUCCUCAGGUUACAUCAACUCUCAGAGGUGUCAAUUGUCCCAAGUUUGAAAUCCUGAAAAUAAAAUCUGGGUGCCGAUAGGGCCCACGGUGGGUUCAGGGCACACCCUGGACAGGGGUCCAGGGAGCCAGAGGCCCCCGGAAGCACCUGUAAUUUAACUUAUUUGAAACAAAGAAAUCGCUUCUCCUGAGCUUUAAGACACCUGUAUUUUUAAGAGAUCAGGCUUUUUCCGCCCAUAGCCACGGGUCCGAAUAUCGGCCCCAUUCCCAAUUCAAAUCCGGUUGUUUUUUUCCCAAUUGAAAAAAAAAAUCCCAAUUCGAACUUCCAACGAUCGCAAACUUGAUUUUUUUCGGCUGCUAAAAACGCGCAAAAUAACGGUACAUUAAUCCGCAAACUAAACAUUGCCGAAAACCCGCGAGUUUUUGAGCCCGGCUUUGUAUCGAUCAAUACUGCGCGCACGUUUAUGUGCAGGUAACCAUUAAUCGUCAUGGCGUCUCACAACAGUAAAUACUACGUUCCGAAAAUAAGAAAGAAAGAUGCAAAAAAUACGCCGACAAUUUCGUCUCUUUUUAAAAAGCAAACUAAAAAAACAACUACAUCGGGUGAGCAGCCACAAGAGACAGAUUUGAUACAUCAAACAGAAGUUACCCAGCCCCCACCAGGACUGACUGACACAGAGGUGUCCCAUCCCCCACAAGAACUCACAGAAGUGACACAGUUCCAAUCAAAUACAAGAGAACAUUAGUUUGUGAGAACUUAAAGACUUCCGGUUCAGAAGCUGAUGCCACAUAUGCAAUUGUUAUUGUCUUGUUACUUUGACAUUGUGGUUAAGAAAUGUUGAAUACUGA
Dreissena polymorpha is the source of this 1484-nucleotide long non-coding RNA. RefSeq lists it as uncharacterized. Lineage: Eukaryota; Metazoa; Mollusca; Bivalvia; Myida; Dreissenidae. The record is from RefSeq and is a predicted model, not a curated record. The transcript is spliced from 2 exons.